GAUGAACGCUGGCGGCGUGCCUAAUACAUGCAAGUCGAGCGAACGGACGAGAAGCUUGCUUCUCUGAUGUUAGCGGCGGACGGGUGAGUAACACGUGGACAACCUACCUAUAAGACUGGGAUAACUUCGGGAAACCGGAGCUAAUACCGGAUAAUAUUUUGAACCGCAUGGUUCAAAAGUGAAAGACGGUCUUGCUGUCACUUAUAGAUGGAUCCGCGCUGCAUUAGCUAGUUGGUAAGGUAACGGCUUACCAAGGCAACGAUGCAUAGCCGACCUGAGAGGGUGAUCGGCCACACUGGAACUGAGACACGGUCCAGACUCCUACGGGAGGCAGCAGUAGGGAAUCUUCCGCAAUGGGCGAAAGCCUGACGGAGCAACGCCGCGUGAGUGAUGAAGGUCUUCGGAUCGUAAAACUCUGUUAUUAGGGAAGAACAUAUGUGUAAGUAACUGUGCACAUCUUGACGGUACCUAAUCAGAAAGCCACGGCUAACUACGUGCCAGCAGCCGCGGUAAUACGUAGGUGGCAAGCGUUAUCCGGAAUUAUUGGGCGUAAAGCGCGCGUAGGCGGUUUUUUAAGUCUGAUGUGAAAGCCCGCGGCUCAACCGUGGAGGGUCAUUGGAAACUGGAAAACUUGAGUGCAGAAGAGGAAAGUGGAAUUCCAUGUGUAGCGGUGAAAUGCGCAGAGAUAUGGAGGAACACCAGUGGCGAAGGCGACUUUCUGGUCUGUAACUGACGCUGAUGUGCGAAAGCGUGGGGAUCAAACAGGAUUAGAUACCCUGGUAGUCCACGCCGUAAACGAUGAGUGCUAAGUGUUAGGGGGUUUCCGCCCCUUAGUGCUGCAGCUAACGCAUUAAGCACUCCGCCUGGGGAGUACGACCGCAAGGUUGAAACUCAAAGGAAUUGACGGGGACCCGCACAAGCGGUGGAGCAUGUGGUUUAAUCCGAAGCAACGCGAAGAACCUUACCAAAUCUUGACAUCCUUUGACAACUCUAGAGAUAGAGCCUUCCCCUUCGGGGGACAAAGUGACAGGUGGUGCAUGGUUGUCGUCAGCUCGUGUCGUGAGAUGUUGGGUUAAGUCCCGCAACGAGCGCAACCCUUAAGCUUAGUUGCCAUCAUUAAGUUGGGCACUCUAAGUUGACUGCCGGUGACAAACCGGAGGAAGGUGGGGAUGACGUCAAAUCAUCAUGCCCCUUAUGAUUUGGGCUACACACGUGCUACAAUGGACAAUACAAAGGGCAGCGAAACCGCGAGGUCAAGCAAAUCCCAUAAAGUUGUUCUCAGUUCGGAUUGUAGUCUGCAACUCGACUACAUGAAGCUGGAAUCGCUAGUAAUCGUAGAUCAGCAUGCUACGGUGAAUACGUUCCCGGGUCU
RNAcentral lists this ribosomal RNA (1372 nucleotides) under uncultured bacterium. RNAcentral's name for it is "bacterial SSU rRNA". It matches the Rfam family "Bacterial small subunit ribosomal RNA", at positions 28 to 1381 of the family's 1533-position model. The record is from RNAcentral.